This 245-nucleotide ribosomal RNA is filed under the name uncultured bacterium. RNAcentral's name for it is "partial 16S ribosomal RNA". It matches the Rfam family "Bacterial small subunit ribosomal RNA", at positions 524 to 767 of the family's 1533-position model. The record is from RNAcentral.
GACAGAGGUGGCAAGCGUUGUUCGGAUUCAUUGGGUGUAAAGGGUGCGUAGGCGGUUUGGAAAGUCAGAUGUGAAAUCCUACAGCUUAACUGUAGAACUGCAUUUGAAACUUCCAGACUAGAGUAUGGAAGAGGUGAAGGGAAUUCCCAGUGUAAGGGUGAAAUCUGCAGAUAUUGGGAAGAACACCAGUAGCGAAGGCGCUUCACUGGUCCAUCACUGACGCUGAGUGCACGAAGGUGUGGGGA